This 73-nucleotide transfer RNA is filed under the name Capsicum annuum. It matches the Rfam family "tRNA". From Rfam's summary of the family: Transfer RNA (tRNA) molecules are approximately 80 nucleotides in length. Lineage: Eukaryota; Viridiplantae; Streptophyta; Magnoliopsida; Solanales; Solanaceae. The record is from Rfam by way of RNAcentral.
GCACCCAUGGCCUAACGGAUAAGUUGCUUUACUUCUAAUUAAGCGAUUGUAGGUUCGAGUCCCGCUGGGCGUG